AUUGAACGCUGGCGGCAGGCCUAACACAUGCAAGUCGAACGGUAACAGGAAACAGCUUGCUGUUUCGCUGACGAGUGGCGGACGGGUGAGUAAUGUCUGGGAAACUGCCUGAUGGAGGGGGAUAACUACUGGAAACGGUAGCUAAUACCGCAUAACGUCGCAAGACCAAAGAGGGGGACCUUCGGGCCUCUUGCCAUCGGAUGUGCCCAGAUGGGAUUAGCUAGUAGGUGGGGUAACGGCUCACCUAGGCGACGAUCCCUAGCUGGUCUGAGAGGAUGACCAGCCACACUGGAACUGAGACACGGUCCAGACUCCUACGGGAGGCAGCAGUGGGGAAUAUUGCACAAUGGGCGCAAGCCUGAUGCAGCCAUGCCGCGUGUAUGAAGAAGGCCUUCGGGUUGUAAAGUACUUUCAGCGGGGAGGAAGGGAGUAACGUUAAUACCUUUGCUCAUUGACGUUACCCGCAGAAGAAGCACCGGCUAACUCCGUG
RNAcentral lists this ribosomal RNA (490 nucleotides) under uncultured bacterium. RNAcentral's name for it is "partial 16S ribosomal RNA". It matches the Rfam family "Bacterial small subunit ribosomal RNA", at positions 30 to 507 of the family's 1533-position model. The record is from RNAcentral.